Molecule: long non-coding RNA, 3594 nt
Organism: Ictalurus punctatus (channel catfish)
Lineage: Eukaryota; Metazoa; Chordata; Actinopteri; Siluriformes; Ictaluridae
Source: Ensembl
GGGGGGUUCAGCCAAGAAUUUUCAUUUCAUCACAUUACAGAAAGCUCAGCUCACAUGUGAUUAUAUUUUUGUCUAUGAUCAUGUGUGAAGAAAACAAAAUAGAAUUGAAGGGACAUGAAAUUCACCUAAAUAACUCAUUUCAGAAAAUCAGAUUCUGAAAACUGAAACUGCAUGUAAGAAUAAAACCACAUACGCUAGUAAGCAACUAGCCACGCUACAGUAGUCCAAUUAAAGGCCUCUAAUUUGUCGAUUCUAACAUGUAUUCCUUUUUUUCAUUCAUAUCAAGCUGUUUAGACAAUACUGAAUCACCUAGCCAAUGACUUAGCUCGAUGUCAUACUGUAUCAUAUUCGAUUUCUUGCUGCUUUUACUGUGAAAACAUGAUGCCUUUAUUUUAUAUCAUAUCAUCAUAUCCUUUUGGACUAAGAAAUACAAAGCCUUAAUACUGGGUAAAGCAUGUAGGAAUCCCAGUUCUUCAAAACACACUCUGCUUAUUUCACUUGAUUCCUAUAUGGUUCACCGAGCAAAGAUGGAAAUGCCUUUGAAUUGAAACUGACAGCCAGCAAUUUAUCCUCAGAGUCAUUGGUUCAUUUCAAAUCCAAUGUGCUGGAAUAUAGGGCCAAAACAACAAAAAUUGCAUCAGCGUUCACUUACUUACGUGCUGCGUGUUUGUGUGAAAGAUAUUCAGAGUUUAUUCUAAUUCAUGCAAGCACACUUGUUUAAUAUUCGGUAUAGCAUAUGUGAAAACUGACAUGGAAAAGUACAUCUGAUGUCAUUUUAUUUUGUGUCCGUCAUCUCAAACAGGAUCUGUUGUCAGGGUGGACUGCCUGCUGAAUAUUUACUUCACAGUAAUGAUACAUGAAUGCCUUUCCUCCUUCUUUUUUUUUUUUUUUCAUAUGGAGUAGACGUUUUUUGGGGGCCUGUUGAUACCAUUACUGAUAUCAAAAUAUGUGACCUACUUACUAUUAAUCAAUCAAGGUGAUCGAGUAAGAGUUGGUUUAGCUCUUUAUGUGCAUUUCCGUACUGCUAGCAAUGAAUUCCUCAUGCUGAGUUUUAUGGGGUUUAAACAGCAUCUUUAAUAGAGAGCGUGACGACCGCCGACCUUGAUUUGCGAGUAACGUGUAGACCCCGGCAGGCGAACAUGACACAGUGCUCAGUGCUCGCCGAAAUGACGUGCUCACACAAGUGACAGCUCCUCUGCAUGCUAGUUUCACUCUUCCACACUCAUUUUGGGUGUGUUCUAUUUCCCCGCAGUUCCUGGUGGGUUAAUACUAAUUGUGGAUUAGGUUUAAUGGUGGACUAAUGUGCAUUAGACAUAUACUGACAUUCAAUUAUCAUAUCUCUAUAAUUGGCUAAUCGGUCAUCAUGGUUUACAGUAAUAUCACUAUUCUGCGUUAUAAACUAUUGCGUUACUAGUUAAUGCUUUACAUUAAGGUUCCCUUAACUAACAUUGUUUGUCACACAGCCUCACAAAUGCAAUCUGGAGGUAAGCAGAUUUUUAAAAACAUUCAUUGUAUUCAUGGGCAAAACUUGUAGUACUUUAAAAAAGUAGAACACGUCAGAAUUUCACCACGAAAAGGGUUUUCCCCGGCUCUCACAUACCCCCGGAUUUAAUUAACAUUAACAAACGUUAAUUCAUUAAGCACAAGAAAUGUUAACAAAGCAACAAAGUUAACACAUGAAUUGAGGUUCGUUUAAAUGUUAACUAAAUACACAGGCGUUGGCGAAUGUUUAUUCAAUCCAUGCCUGCAAAUAAGUUGGCAUAAGUGAGGAAAAGAAGAAAAAAAAACCCCUCAAUUACAGCAUGUCUAAAUAUCUAAAUGUUGAUAAAUUACUGAACUCUGGUCUGAAGGUAUAAUAUAUUAAAAUGUUUCAAAUGUUGUUUUUUUUUUAAGUGUCAGUCCUGAAUUUUGCAAGUUAACACGUGCAAACACUCAUUAAGCUGGUGAGCGUUGGCUUCAUUUUACUCCGUGAUGUUGUGAAAAUUGCUUCAUGCAGGUGUUGAGUUUUGGUUGAUUUAGUUUACUAUUCAAAACAAACAAACAAACAAACAAAAAAACAAUCUAUGUCACUUGCAGGGUAUUAAUCCUGAAGUUUACGGUCUGUUCAUGUUAACUAAAUGUCUUUUAAGGGAAUCUUAAUGUAGCGAUGUGUUUCCCCCAUCUUGUUCAGUGAACACAAUAAUGGCAUUGGCAUUGUAUGCAUGAAAAUGUAAUAUUUCUCGGAGACAGGAACAAAUUAGAAAACAGCUGCGGUUGGAGUUCCAGUUGGAGUAGUGAUGCUAUUUAAACCUUGUAUAUCGUGCAUAGGAUUUUAUGAGAUAUACGUAUCAUGUCCUAACGUUGACGCAUCGAGUAGUGGAUAAAUGCAGAGCUUCGGAAGGAAUGGACAAAGCUGGAAAGGACCAGAUGUGUUUGCUGACCCUCAGACUACAGUACAAAGCAUCAGCAAAGACAGACAUGCACACACUUACGUAUAACAGGAAAGAAGUUAGGACGUUCUUAUCUGGGGCUUGUGCAUGGCAGAGUGGUGUUAGAAGUGAGAUAACCAGUGAGUUCAGCCAUGGUUUAUUUUUCAUUUAAAUACCCAGACAUUCCCAGGCUUCCUGAUAAAUACCAUUGGGUAAAAUCAAUUUUGGAGACUCCUGGGGGUCAUGAUAAUAUUUGUCUCAAGUGGUUCAAAUUUCUGCAGAAUACAGAUGUACUUCUCAAUAUUAAGUGACUAUAAUCUAUAAAUGAACUUUAGAUUGCAGCAGAAUGCAGUUACUUGCACAGCUUAAUGGUCCACUACGGUAAAUGUGCUGAAUUAUGUGCUUCAUGCUGACUAUGAGUAAUGGGUAUCUGUCCACCGUUUCCUGUAUAUAGCCAAGAGGCAAGAGUCAGAUCAAGCCAUCCAAAACCUAUCAAGCCAUUUCUAAUAAACUGGUAUUUUUUUCCCUUUUGCAUUACCCAAAGUGCACAUUUCACUGCUAUAUGAAUACUGAUGUAAACGAAACAGGCAGUACAAAGUUACUGUUUGAAGCUUUAGCCUGUGUGACAUCUGUAGAAGAACAAUAUACAUAAGAUUUUCUGUGUGAAAUUAUAAGCCCAUCUAUAAACAAAAGUCAGGGAUGCUGUUGUGUUUGGCAAAGAGCCAUAGAAUUUGAUCAAUUAACUGGAGCUGAAACUAAUGAUUCAUGCAAAUUUGAGAUAUCUGGUUCAAAUGAUUCUUUUUUUCGCCACCCAAUCAAGUUAAGGUAAAGGCAAAACAGGAUGAAAAGCAAUAUAGUUCCCCUUAUAGAUAUUGUUCUCUGCUGCGCUCAUUAAUCUCUGUGAAAAAUCAUUUUCCUGGUUUUGUCUGGUCUGAGGUUGAUGAGAUGUUUUUUUUUCUUUCUUUCUUUUGUUAUUCUUGCAGGAUGUAAAUAUGCACUACAUCAUUUUCAAUCCUUCAACUUAGUUUGUUGUCGUUUUUGUCUUUUUUUGUCUGUUAACAGAUCGGACACUUUCUUUCCCCCUUCCGAAUACAAACUUCUGUCUCUUCUUUGAGUAUAUUAUUGUCUGAAAGAAAACGUUUUGUAAAAAUUUUGAUGAUGAAAUCUGAAAUAAAGUAAUUUAAAG